AAUUAUAUAAGUUAUAUAAACUAAUGACCUUCAAAGCCAUAAAAAGAUUAAAAAAUCUUAUAAUUG
RNAcentral lists this transfer RNA (66 nucleotides) under Omalonyx unguis. RNAcentral describes it as "tRNA-Trp". The record is from RNAcentral. Lineage: Eukaryota; Metazoa; Mollusca; Gastropoda; Stylommatophora; Succineidae.